AAGGGAUUAGUUUAAUUAUUAAAACAUUAACUUGUCAAGUUAAAAUUUAUUACUAUAGUAUUCCUUA
Molecule: transfer RNA, 67 nt
Filed under: Palomena angulosa
Lineage: Eukaryota; Metazoa; Arthropoda; Insecta; Hemiptera; Pentatomidae
Description: tRNA-Asp
Rfam family: tRNA
About the family: Transfer RNA (tRNA) molecules are approximately 80 nucleotides in length. Their secondary structure includes four short double-helical elements and three loops (D, anti-codon, and T loops).
Source: RNAcentral